UUAACUCGUAUUUGUAUGGAAUGGGAUCGUUUGCAUAUGUUUGCCGCUAGGGGCGCUGUUCCAACUGCAUACAAAUUUGAGUUA
This 84-nucleotide microRNA precursor is filed under the name Bombyx mori (domestic silkworm). Its description in RNAcentral is "mir-2807 microRNA precursor family". It matches the Rfam family "mir-2807 microRNA precursor family". Lineage: Eukaryota; Metazoa; Arthropoda; Insecta; Lepidoptera; Bombycidae. The record is from Rfam by way of RNAcentral.